AACAGCUUAAUGGGUUAGAAUCCUUUAUCUUUCCAGCUAUUAUAGCCAUUAGCUGAAAAGAUAAGGCAUUUUAACCCAUUAAGCCUCAGU
This is a non-coding RNA of Paramuricea clavata, 90 nucleotides long. Lineage: Eukaryota; Metazoa; Cnidaria; Anthozoa; Malacalcyonacea; Plexauridae. The record is from the annotation of a GenBank genome assembly.